CUACGGGUUGCACCAGUAGGGAAUCUUAGACAAUGGGGGAAACCCUGAUCUAGCCAUGCCGCGUGAGUGAUGAAGGCCUUAGGGUUGUAAAGCUUUUUCGCUGGGGAAGAUAAUGACGGUACCCAGUAAAGAAACCCCGGCUAACUCCGUGCCAGCAGCCGCGGUAAUACGGAGGGGGUUAGCGUUGUUCGGAAUUACUGGGCGUAAAGCGCGCGUAGGCGGGCCAUUAAGUCAGGGGUGAAAUCCCGGGGCUCAACCCCGGAACUGCCUUUGAUACUGGUAGUCUUGAGUUCGAGAGAGGUGAGUGGAAUUCCGAGUGUAGAGGUGAAAUUCGUAGAUAUUCGGAGGAACAUCAGUGGCGAAGGCGACUCACUGGCUCGAUACUGACGCUGAGGUGCGAAAGUGUGGGGAGCAAACAGGAUUAGAUACCCUCGUAGUC
RNAcentral lists this ribosomal RNA (439 nucleotides) under uncultured bacterium. RNAcentral describes it as "partial 16S ribosomal RNA". It matches the Rfam family "Bacterial small subunit ribosomal RNA", at positions 339 to 795 of the family's 1533-position model. The record is from RNAcentral.